RNAcentral lists this ribosomal RNA (470 nucleotides) under uncultured bacterium. RNAcentral describes it as "partial 16S ribosomal RNA". It matches the Rfam family "Bacterial small subunit ribosomal RNA", at positions 28 to 507 of the family's 1533-position model. The record is from RNAcentral.
GACGAACGCUGGCGGCGUGCUUAACACAUGCAAGUCGAACGGUCAACUAGGGAGCUUGCUCCCCCCAGAUCAGUGGCGAACGGGUGAGUAACACGUGAGCAAUCUGCCCCUAACUCUGGGAUAAGCGCUGGAAACGACGUCUAAUACCGGAUACGAUGCUGAAGGGCAUGCUCCCCUCGUGGAAAAAACUUCCGUUCGGGAUGAGCGAGCGGCCUAUCCGUCUUUUGGUGAAGGAACGGCUCACCACGGCGACGGCGGGUAGCCGGCCUGAGAGGUUGACCGGCCACACUGGGACUGAGAGACGGCCCAGACUCCUACGGGCGGCAGCAGUGGGAAAUAUUGCACAAUGGGCGCAAGCCUGAUGCAGCAACGCCGCGUGAGGGAAGACGGCCUUCGGGUUGUAAACCUCUUUUAGCAGGGAAGAAGCGAAAGUGACGUUACCUGAAGAAAAAGCACCGGCUAACUACGUG